CUGGUACAAAGUGCUCGUAACUGGGAGGCUUGUCGAAUCCUGCUCAGAACACGGAACCAGUAUUAUUGUAAAAUUACGAUUACCUAAAUACACUUAUCGAAACAUUUACAAGAGGAACUGUCUCAAAAAACAGACGCUUAGCAAUAAUUGAGCUGGUAUAUGUUUUUAAUUACCCGUGGCCAACGAAUACGUGAUCG
Molecule: long non-coding RNA, 197 nt
Organism: Diuraphis noxia (Russian wheat aphid)
Lineage: Eukaryota; Metazoa; Arthropoda; Insecta; Hemiptera; Aphididae
Source: RefSeq, a predicted model, not a curated record